GGGCCCGCACAAGCGGUGGAGCAUGUGGUUUAAUUCGAUGAUACGCGAGGAACCUUACCAGGGCUUAAAUGUAAGUUGCAUUAGUUAGAGAUAGCUAUUUCUUCGGACUACUUACAAGGUGCUGCAUGGUUGUCGUCAGCUCGUGCCGUGAGGUGUCAGGUUAAGUCCUAUAACGAGCGCAACCCCUGUUGUUAGUUGCCAUCGAGUCAUGUCGGGAACUCUAACAAGACUGCCGGUGCAAACCGUGAGGAAGGUGGGGAUGACGUCAAAUCAUCACGGCCCUUACGUCCUGGCUACACACGUGCUACAAUGGCCGGUACAGAGAGCAGCCACUACGCGAGUAGGCGCGAA
RNAcentral lists this ribosomal RNA (351 nucleotides) under uncultured bacterium. RNAcentral's name for it is "bacterial SSU rRNA". It matches the Rfam family "Bacterial small subunit ribosomal RNA", at positions 917 to 1271 of the family's 1533-position model. The record is from RNAcentral.